This 49-nucleotide ribosomal RNA is filed under the name Thanatephorus cucumeris. Its description in RNAcentral is "partial 28S ribosomal RNA". Lineage: Eukaryota; Fungi; Basidiomycota; Agaricomycetes; Cantharellales; Ceratobasidiaceae. The record is from RNAcentral.
GAUCUGAUCUCAAAUCAGGUAGGACUACCCGCUGAACUUAAGCAUAUCA